Molecule: ribosomal RNA, 442 nt
Filed under: uncultured bacterium
Lineage: Bacteria
Description: bacterial SSU rRNA
Rfam family: Bacterial small subunit ribosomal RNA
Source: RNAcentral
CCUACGGGUGGCUGCAGUGGGGAAUAUUGCACAAUGGGGGAAACCCUGAUGCAGCGACGCCGCGUGAAGGAAGAAGGUCUUCGGAUCGUAAACUUCUAUCAGCAGGGAAGAAGGAAGUGACGGUACCUGACUAAGAAGCCCCGGCUAACUACGUGCCAGCAGCCGCGGUAAUACGUAGGGGGCAAGCGUUAUCCGGAAUCACUGGGUGUAAAGGGUGCGUAGGCGGCCCUUCAAGUCAGAGGUGAAGGGCUACGGCUCAACCGUAGUAAGCCUUUGAAACUGUCUUACUAGAGUGCAGGAGAGGAAAGCGGAAUUCCUAGUGUAGCGGUGAAAUGCGUAGAUAUUAGGAAGAACACCAGUGGCGAAGGCGGCUUUCUGGACUGUAACUGACGCUGAGGCACGAAAGCGUGGGGAGCGAACAGGAUUAGAUACCCCAGUAGUC